Brienomyrus brachyistius is the source of this 1938-nucleotide long non-coding RNA. RefSeq lists it as uncharacterized. The record is from RefSeq and is a predicted model, not a curated record. The transcript has 3 exons. NCBI's taxonomy places the organism in Eukaryota, Metazoa, Chordata, Actinopteri, Osteoglossiformes, Mormyridae.
AAUGUGAAUUUUUUUACUUGAUAUAUAUUUGGGCCGAAUGGCCUCCUCUCGUUUGUAAAUUUCUUAUGUUCUUAUAUGACAAAUGCUUGCGGCGCGUCAACAGAUUUUUUUUUUUCUGAACAAGGUAUAUUUUAAUUACUACAAACUGUAAAUCCAGGCCAGAUUAAGUAGCUUCCCAGUUUCAAGAGGUUCUCAGUUUUCUACCUCUGUCAUCGUAUGUGGUGAGUAUUAUUUAAAGAGAGGGAGCAGCAGGAAAAUCGCUAUGCUGAACCGCCGUAACCACAUCUAAGCAACGUAUCUGGAAGGAGCGGCACCGAGCCCAGCCAGCAGCCUUCGGCAGUCGGAGAAUUGCCCCUGUGUCGUCUGCCGUGUUUGUGUUCAUGCUAGCGUAGCGAUAUGCACAGCAAGAACUUUUCACACGCAGCCAAAAGAUCUUCACCUCUUGUUUUUCACCCAAGCCCACAGCAGAUGAGAGGAAUACCAUCUCCCAGGGCGCUAGUUUCUAAGAACCGGCUGCUCUCCUUGUUCGAGACAAUCAGUCCCCAGUGGUCGACAUCUGUUUGGCAGCCAGACCCUGUGGUGCACUGGGACCAGCCAUGAGGGCCAGAAUGAGGCCCCUCCCUUUCUUAAAACCCCUCCCCGGCUACUGUGUACAGCUGAAACGCUCCUAACCAAAGCAGCUUUGCAGUUUUGCCAGUUCCAGGGAACGUGGGCUUCCAGUGUCAUCGUCGAAGAACAAAGGAAGACUCCGGCAUUGCUCAUUUGCUGUAGAGAACCGUCCAAUCACAGACGCUGUGCAAUCUGUCCAUGUCUUUAGGACACAUGAUGGAUCAGGAGAAUGGAGGUGCGUACAGCAUCGUCCAGGACCUUCAGCCCUGCUAAGCAGGUUAUGUGGGAGCAGGAAGGUCACCCAGAAGUUUCCAGAAGCUCAUACUUCAACAUGGAUUGGAAGUGAGAGAUGCCUCAAUCAAGGGAAUUAGACAUAUAAUAAAUCUCAAAUUUAAUGCACUGGGGGGCAACCCAGCCCCUCCCCCAGGAUUGUUAGAGGAAGAAACACAAGGUCUGAGGUCUAUUGCAUGACAGAUAUCAUCAAGUGGUGGAGAUAAGGUGGUGCUGAUGUAACCUGCCACAGCGCCGGUCUGUUCCGGUGCCUCUUCCACGCUUGGCUCCUUACCACCGGGGGGAUGGCAGAGGACGCAAACGACAGAGUGAAAAGCAGCUCCACACCUUCCACUGCGCCGCCCUGUUCUCCUGGAACAGCAUUGGUCGGCGGGGGUCCCGUUCUCCUCCCCAGAAAACGGACGUGCCCCGACACGUCCCACAGGCCCAGCGUGAGCGAGAAGCUCAGAAUCAGACCGUGGAGAACAUGGCUGGCGUUACUGAACAUUUCAACUGGUGCAGAGUCACUGGAGUUUGAAUCGGUCUCUGUGGUGACAUAACAACAAUCAUGGCUGCCAGAUCAGGCAGUUGGCCAUUUCAUUAUUUAUGUUCACUGCCACACCUUCUAGGCCGAAAUCCUCUUUGUGCAUGAGGCUUGUCUUUACAUCUGCGCUCUUUCACGACAGACUCGAUUAAAACGCAAGUAGUACUAGCGGAACAAAUCAGUACAUAAAGGUCCUUAGAGACUUUGGGGAAAGCGUAACAUGGCAGAGGGUUUCCAAUUAAAAUUUAAUUGCACAUUAUCCUCAGAGAAUAUAAAUUCUGCAGCAUUUGGCUAAGCAGGCUUUGAUACACUAUUCCAGUUCAUUUCAGAUUUUGAUCACAUUAUUUAAAUAGCUACAAUAUGUUGAAAAUACCUCUGUGAAUAUUAUUUUUCUUUUCUUUUCUUCUUUUCCUAUUAAUAUACUCGAUGCAUCUAUCCAUCCAUCCUUGUACCGUUUAUUCACUGCUGGGUUAUGGGGCAUUAUGGAAUGGGGAAUUACUUUUGACAUUAAAUGG